UACGGAGGAGGCAAGCGUAAUCCGGAAUUAUUGGGCGUAAAGCGUCCGUAGGUGGUUGGCCAAGUCUGCUGUCAAAGGGUGGGGCUUAACCUCAUAAAGGCAGUGGAAACUGGCGAGCUAGAGUGCAGUAGGGGUAGGGGGAAUUCCCAGUGUAGCGGUGAAAUGCGUAGAGAUUGGGAAGAACAUCGGUGGCGAAAGCGCCCUGCUGGGCCUGCACUGACACUGAGGGACGAAAUCUAGGGGAGCGAAAGGG
Molecule: ribosomal RNA, 253 nt
Filed under: uncultured bacterium
Lineage: Bacteria
Description: partial 16S ribosomal RNA
Rfam family: Bacterial small subunit ribosomal RNA
Source: RNAcentral